This 494-nucleotide ribosomal RNA is filed under the name uncultured bacterium. Its description in RNAcentral is "partial 16S ribosomal RNA". It matches the Rfam family "Bacterial small subunit ribosomal RNA", at positions 28 to 523 of the family's 1533-position model. The record is from RNAcentral.
GACGAACGCUGGCGGCGUGCUUAACACAUGCAAGUCGAGCGAUGAAAGCCUUAUGAACUAUUCGUAGUGAUUGGGGCCGGAUUAACGGCGGACGGGUGAGUAACGCGUGAGCAACCCGCCUUAAACAACGGGAUAGCCUCGGGAAACCGGGAUUAAUACCGUAUGAGACCCCGCCUUCACAUGAAGAAGAGGUUAAAGAUUUAUCGGUUUAAGAUGGGCUCGCGUCUGAUUAGCUAGUUGGUGAGAUAAAAGCCCACCAAGGCAACGAUCAGUAACCGGCUUGAGAGAGUGAACGGUCACAUUGGAACUGAGACACGGUCCAAACUCCUACGGGAGGCAGCAGUGGGGAAUAUUGCACAAUGGGGGAAACCCUGAUGCAGCGACGCCGCGUGAGCGGUGAAGGAAUUCGUUUCGUAAAGCUCUGUCCAAGGGGAAGAUAAUGACAGUACCCUUGGAGGAAGCCCCGGCUAAAUACGUGCCAGCCGCCGCCGUAA